Brienomyrus brachyistius is the source of this 6545-nucleotide RNA transcript. It is a transcript of the gene named family with sequence similarity 221 member A, with no coding region annotated. The transcript is spliced from 9 exons. The record is from RefSeq and is a predicted model, not a curated record. NCBI's taxonomy places the organism in Eukaryota, Metazoa, Chordata, Actinopteri, Osteoglossiformes, Mormyridae.
GCUCUACUACCUGUAACUUAGCAACGGUGGCGCAGUGUGCACCAACACAGGUACAUCGCAUUCACGAUUUUAUUUCGUACGUUUGUAACGGUGCUAACAACUCGAUGGACAUAAUACGUGUGAAUGAAAGUGCGAUCAGUGCAGUUGAAGACUACCUAGAAUACAGAAGGUACAAGCAGCAUCAGACAGACCUUGAGAAGCUGCCUGUAGAGCGGCCGCUGGCUCUGCCGUGCCGCGUUCCGGGCUGCGGCUGCGUCUCCUACUCCUACAUCCACCUCAACGGCUCCCAGCCAGUCCGCUGCCGGUGCAAGCACUCCGUCCAGGACCACAGCGAGGCCGGCGGGCGCCGGUGCAGGAAAUGUUCUACAUGCACUGCGUUCCACAGCCCGUAUACCUGCAGCUGUGGCCAGCCUAGCUACGCCCACAAAACCCUGGUUGAGACGAAGGAGGAGCGCUUGGCUCGGGGCAUGCCCGUAGGGAAGGAUGUCCCGUACAUUGCCAUGGGAGGACUUACGGGAUUCAGCUCUCUGGCUGAGGGCUUCCUGAGACUCGACAACCGCGGGUUGGGGGGGCAAAUAGGCCAUCCUCUGUACUCUGGACUGGAACUGGCUGGAUCCCGAGCCUCCGUUGACUGUGCGCUCGAGGAGGCCGACGGGGCGUGUUCUCAGACCGCAGACAUAAACUCACUGAAGCAGAAGAAGUCAGACUUGAAGACAAGGGAAGAGGAAGACAUGGCCGUCUUUGAAAGACGAUACAAGGAGAGGCUGGAAAUGGAGAAAGUGAGGAAACAGAAGGUGCCGGCAAUGAGAGGGACCCCACCGUCCGCCAACACGCAAAGGAAACGCGGCAAGCCGGAAGGGUGAUGAUUCGUGUUUUAUUUGCCGCGCGCGGUUUGAGUUUUACUCCCUCAGUAUUUCUGUUACAAUGCAGUGGAUAUGUUUUUAUAAAGUUGGAUUGCUGUAUGCUGUGCUAUUUUGAUUAAUGAGUAAAUGUUAAGAAAAGCAACUGCAAAAGUACAUUCUGUAAUGUAUAGCUGUAUCCUCCAGGGGUCAGCAGUGCUACGCUGUGCUGUACCGUGUGUGUGUGUGUGUGUGUGUGUGUGUGUGUGUGUGUGUGUGUGUGUGUGUGUGUGUGUGUGUGUGUGUGUGUGUGUGUGUGUGUUUUAUUGAAUGGAAUUUAAGAGUUUUUGGGUUUUGCAAACAGACAGUGGCAUUUGGAGUAAAAAAGGCAAAUUACAGGCUUGUCAGUUCGUGCCAGUCAGUCCAAUCCUUCAGUAAUUUAAAUGUAAUUGUAAAUUGAAAAUAAUUGUAAUCCCCACACACUGUCGAAAAGCAGCAUUCCAGCAUUCCAGCUAUUCCCAAAUGACCUGCUCUAAAACCUUUGCUAACUCCACAAAAUGCAAGAGUAAUAACAGUCAGAAAGAAAUCAUGGCUGUUUCACUGACUACAUUUGAUUUCUAAUCAAUACCUCACUGACUCAUUAAAUUAAUUAACUAAUUGAGCUGGUGGUGAAAUUUAGCAAGAACAUAGAGGAACCCGGAGGAAAGUUUUGGGAACCAAAAUGGUGUUUUUCUAGCCAUCCAACAAGAUGUCAGUAACUACUUGGAGAACAAAAGAAAUGCUUGUUUCUUUUUAAUUGGGCUACUUUCCACUUGCAUGUGUUCUAAUGUUAAAUUGUGAUUUUUUUUCUAAGCAAAUAUAUACUUCCUACAUUACCAUUAAAUAUUUUCUUUUACUACCUUAGACUGUUGCACUGUACUGUAAAUAGACAUAAUACUGACCGUGAGACAUUAUGAUUGAUGAUCGUCAUAAAGGCAGAGGUAUGACCUGAUCCUGAGGCAUGGAAAACAGUCGACAUACAUUAUAUGGCCAAAAGUAUGUGGACACCAGCUUGUCCAACAUCUCAUUCUGAAACCAAGGGUUUUAAUAUGAAGUUGGUCCACCCUUUGUUGCUAUAAUAGCCUGUACUCUUCUGGGAAGGCCUUCCAUUAGAUGUUGGGACAUUGCCGGUGGCAUUUGCUGCCAUUCAGGUUGGGUAGUGAUGCUGAGCGAUCAGGUCCUUUUCUGUGAGCUUGUGGCUGCCAUUUUAUAACUGAUCUUACUCCCAGACGUUUCCACUUCACAAUCACAACACUUGCAGUUGACCAAGGCAGCUAUUGUAAUGGAGACGUUUGGCUUAACAAACUUGCGGGAAGGAUCACUAAUCAUUUCUGGAUAAUCAUCCAUCUUGCUGCCAGUGUUUGUAAACUGGAGACGGCGUGGUUCUGUUCUUCAUUAUACAUGGGUGUCAGAUGUGGGUGUGGAUUAAUUAGCCAGUUCCUUUAAUUAAUAAGGGUGUCCGCACUCAGCCGUAUGGUGUAUGAACGUUGGGAGUACUCAACAGUUGUGUUUUUGACAUUUUAAAAAUAAGUUAAAAAGUCAAAUUUGAUGCAUCCCGGGGUUUUAUAUGCGUACAAUAUACUGAUCAUCUUGUAUGAAUAUCGAGCAGUAUGCAUGUUGUGGUUAUGUAGACUUGUAUCACGUCCUGCCCGCCACUUCCACCUGAGCCUCCUGUCUCCUUCCUGGUGUGAACCUAACAAGCCAUGCCUGUUACUCUUCUAUUUUACCUCUUGUUCUUAACUCUCAUAUUAAUCACUCCCAGCUACCUCUCAUUACCUCCCUUGUUAAUUCUGUAUAUACGUGCUUCCCAGUCCUGUGUUCCCCAGUCCUGUGUUCCCCAGUCCAUUCAUUGACGUUGAACCUUCUUGUUGCCUGUACCUUACCUCAUUCCAGUCCUCCCAUUUUGAUCCCUCAUGAUCUGGUUUAUUUCCAGCCUUGGAUCGUUAUGUUCAAUUUUUGUUUCAUCACCAUGCCUGCCCCCGAGUCCUUUGUCCCGCCGGUCGUGACAUCAUACAAAAUUAUAAAACCUAGAGUGUAAGUGAAAGGUGUCUAAACAACGCAGCAGGAGCAUAAAGACUUUGGACUGAAGGUGGUUAAGUCCCAGCAAGGGCCUUUGAGUCAAGUACUAAACGUACAGCAGCUGCAGUGAAAUAUCAAGCUGCAAAAAUAUGUGAAAAUUUGGGUUACGUCAUUAUGAUGGGCAGUAACACACAUCAGUGUCUGUUUUUCAAAUCGUCGAAAGCCACUUCCGUGAAAUUUGUCUCGUUUUAAAGAUCAAUGUCGAAAUCCAGAUUAGAGCUGUGCUUUGUCGAAACUAAUAAAAGGAUUAUGGGUGUUAUAGUAAGAGGUACAGUGAAUCCAUGCUGGCCCUUUGACUCCCUGCAUCCACACGCAUCCGGAGUCAAUAUGGCUGGACGGAUUGAAAAACCCUCAUCUUCGGUGCAGCUGUUUUGAGUUAUUUAUUCGAGCAGCCCCUUCCUCUGGGAAACUUCCUGGGGGUGUCACGAUUUUUAUUCUUUCUCACAUUACAGGUAAAUCUAAAUACAUCUAGGUUCAUGCUGACGGGUGGUGUGUGGCUCAGUGAAUUGGGGCACUGUGCCUGCAAAUGGAAGGUCGCUGGGUCAAAUCCCAGGGUUGGCAGAAUUAUGUCACCAUUGGGCCCCUGAGGAUGGCCCUCAGCCAUUAAAAAAAAUGUGUAUUCCUUUGGGUAAAAGCUAAAUAAAUUCGAUGUAACUAUAAGUAGAUUUUGCCAUCUAUACUUUAUCUCUACAAACGUUUCUUCUCACUGUAUCAUUCUCCUGUGUGUUCAAAACAUUUAUAAACUGUGGGGAGAAAAAGAAGCCUUGCAUUUGCAUUUGGAGAAACGGGGGCAUGUUUAAAAUAUAUUUCAAUAUGUCACUUUGUUCAAUAUCGCCCAUUUGUGCGUAGAAAAUGUCAAAAAACACGAUCAAUGUUAUUUCUCGAUUGGAUAAGAUUUCUAAUAAUCUCACAUGGCUUAUAAGUGCUUAUAAGACUAAUUGCUGGUUUAGGUCCCAGAAUCUUUUUGGGUUUUUGCCACCAUUUAAAACAAUUCCAUAAUAUGACCCUUUCCGAAAUCGCUCUUGGUCAACUGUGUCUUUGCCAAGUUCUCUAGGUGAUUCAAUCGCUGCACCUAUCUACCCAAACAUGACUGCAGGCUGGGUGACCAGGGUGACAAAUUGCCGGUUCCCAGUGCCAGAUACGUCCCUCAAAAGUGCCCCUUAGAGAAAUUCCGUAUCAUUAGGUGUAGUUUGUGCAGACUUUUGUCCAGCUGAAAUUUGUAGAGGAGCUAUUAUGGUUUUUAUCUUUAGUAUAACCAGGGCAUUUGGGGCUUAAAAAAUGUCAGUCCCUGAAGUUCAGAAGCGAUAUUUUAUUCCUGUGUCGUCCGAGGCAUCGUUUUCCAGAGUAACUGCGUCAAUAAUCGUGUCCUUGGGCAUCAUUUUAAUAGACGCAGACAUUGGCUUUGCUCGCUUGAAGGUGACCGCUGCCAAUGAUUAUGAAACAUGUAAUAUAAUAAGAAAAAAAAUAGAUAAAACUGCACCAACAACCAGGCACAUCGCUGGAAAUUCUGGACCCACUGACAAAAUGUCACCUUGCCCCCCCCCCCUUUGGCCGCACGAUUGUACGUAUAAUUUUGCGUGUAAUUUUACAUAUUCAAGGACUCCUGUCGAGUGCUGGACCCCUGAAUCUCUGAAUCCAUGGCCCUACUGCAUGCACCCCUGGCAAAAAAAAAAACGAACUUUCAAAAAAAUAAAAUAGCCACACAAUGACGUCGAUUUGUGACCUGCAGUAUUAUUACGGUACGUUGGGGCAUCAUUGUGGGCAAGUUUUGAUGUCACUUUGUUCAAUAUCGCCCAUUUGUACGUAGAGAAUGUCAAAAAACACGACCAAUGUUAUUUCUCGAUUGGAUAAGAUUUCUGAUCAUCUCAGAUGACUUAUAAGAGCUUAUAAGACUAAUUGCUGGUUUAGGUAGCAGAAUCUUUUUGGGUUUUUGCCAUCAUUAAAAAAAAUCCACAAUAUGACCCUUUCCGAAAUCACUCUUGGUCAACUGUGUCUUUGCCAAGUUCUCCAGGUGAUUCGAUCGCUGCACCUAUCUACCCAAACAUGACUGCAGGCUGGGUGACCCGGGUGACAAAUUGGAUAAUGUGGCAACCUGAGAAACGACUCCAUCGCAGUAGCUGUGAAUCAGGCAUGGAGAACGUCCAGCUGUAAUGAACACAAAUGUAAGUGGAUCAAAAAAAGGAUGCCGUAGAACAGCUUAGUAAUUACAUGGAGAACGUCCAUGUCCAUGUCACAAAUUCUGAAGUGAUGAUGAGCUCUUCUGAAUCAAAGUAGAUGUUACUAGUUGGCAUUUGUUGUGAUUCAGAUUUACAGUGUUAAUUUUUGCAGUGACUUACAGUAAUAUCUUUUUAUAUGGUAAGACAAUUUGAUUGGAGUGCAAACACAAUUGCAUAAGGUUUUUCAAGAAUAUUUUGACAUGUGAACAUUGUGCAAGAAACUUGCAUAUCUAGAUAUCUCAUUAGCUUUAAUGAUCUAUCAGAGUCCUGCCUACUAUUUUCUGGACUCAGGUAGGAGUCUCCAUGAAUCACAUUACAAUGCUGUUAAAUGUGUAGCAGCAGUAAAGACUGUAGGGGAUUAGAGUCCAUUCACAAGAAAGCAUGACAGGUGAAGCCUGUAACCUUUAACUCUUUAGUUUAAAUGCCUUUGUACAAAAAUCAUAUACACAAUUAUACUCAGUAGAAUGUGCAGUGAGGCUGUGAAAGAACACAUAACUUUAUGAAGGUGUAUUGUGCAGUGAGGCUGUGAAAGAACACAUAACUUUAUGAAGGUGUAUUGUGCAGUGAGGCUGUGAAAGAACACAUAACUUUAUGAAGGUGUAUUGUGCAGUGAGGCUGUGAAAGAACACAUAACUUUAUGAAGGUGUAUUGUGCAGUGAGGCUGUGAAAGAACACAUAACUUUAUGAAGGUGUAUUGUGCAGUGAGGCUGUGAAAGAACACAUAACUUUAUGAAGGUGUAUUGUGCAGUGAGGCUGUGAAAGAACACAUAACUUUAUGAAGGUGUAUUGUGCAGUGAGGCUGUGAAAGAACACAUAACUUUAUGAAGGUGUAUUGUAUUGGCCCCCAAUCCAGACCAAUCCAAUUAUGUUCCAGGACUUUUAGAGCCAGAAGCUCUUCCUCAGCCUUUCUGCGUUUGCCCCAAUGUCAGGAGAGGCCAUUGCUGGAGUGACUGGGAGUGGACCUGCAUCUACUGACAAAAAUGUUCUGGAGGUGGGCAUGAGAGGAAAUGGGUGCUGGUGAACCUUCCCCUUUAAAGAGUCAGUGUGAAUGGAUCCGGUCAGAUCCUCGGUUAUGUGAAGUGGCCACUCUCUGCUAAAGCACUAUUGAUCCUGAUAUGGUCGCACUUCCUCAUCUGUUUCCUUCUGAAGUUCACAGUCAAUUCAACUUCACCAAAGCAUUAAUUAAUCUGUAUGCGGCAGUAAUUUGAGAUAAGACUACAAUGGUCUCCACUCAUUGUGCAUUUUGUUUAGUCUUUUGUUGACAUCAGCUCCAGGGUUGAUAAAUAUAUGUUUUACAUUUUUGACCCUGAGUAAUAGGAGGGAUUGUUGGAAGCACUUAAUACACCCGUGUAUUGUAGAUACCUUCAUAAUG